Bombus pyrosoma is the source of this 2042-nucleotide long non-coding RNA. RefSeq lists it as uncharacterized. NCBI's taxonomy places the organism in Eukaryota, Metazoa, Arthropoda, Insecta, Hymenoptera, Apidae. The transcript is spliced from 2 exons. The record is from RefSeq and is a predicted model, not a curated record.
UAUGCAGAAGGAUGUAAAAUGUCCAAAAUUGAGUAUUCGUUAGAACGGGUAAUUACUAAGUGAAAAAAAAUCUAUUCUUAAAUCCUAUUCCCUCGAGGUGUUUGUAGCCCUGUAGGUGUAGACGAUAUCCCUGAAAAGUAAAACGCGCUGAGGCUCGAGAAACCACGCGUGUCUGCUGACAUACUCACUCUCUCUCUCUCUCUCUCUCUCUCUCUCUCUCUCUCUCUCUCUCUCUCUCUCUCCCGAGCAUGCAAAUUCUUUGAUUUCUAUCGUAUCUACCUUCUACCUACGCUAACAAACAAUUGAGAAACGGACAGAAUGGCAACCUCGCGUUAUAAUGUACGACAUGUUGAACGUCGAAACUAUAGAUUUACGAUUUUGUUUCGUACGAUCAGCAAUGGUGACAAGAUAGGGGGUGAAGAACGUUGGCGUUAUUCACGAUCCUCGAUAAAUAACGCGAAUUCAGGAUCCUGCGUGCAAGGCGACAAGAAUAUUGGGUUUCGCCAGAGGUAGGAAAAGAAAGAGAGCUUAUUGUAUAAAAAUAAGGAAAGACACCGGCGGUGGAAAUAGACGAUCGGCUAUUGUUGACGCUGGUAGUGUGACGUGACACUGUUUUGGCAGCUAAAGCUAGAAUAAGCUGCUUUUAUUAGCAAGGUUCUGGGAAGAAUGAUCGAGUUUUCAAAAACGUACGAAACAAUGCGAGAGAAACUCUUAUUAUUUGUAUAUUAUAUUUAUUCCUGUGUAAAAACUUCAAUCCAUGAAUUAUUUGUAGUAAUAUCGUGUUUCUAUAAUAAGGAACGAACUCGUACAUGUUUAGUAUUUCUUUUUACUUUCAUUUCUGUAGGAAAGAUUGGAAUUAGCGAUUAAAAUCGAACGAUGAAAUUUAAGUUUAUUUAUUACCUAUACCGAUUUUAUCUUCCUGUGAUGGUAUAUCAAGACGAAAUAAAUGUUUGUAUAUUCAUUAUUUAUUUACAUUUAUUUACGUAUUUUAAGUUUUUGGAAAUAAUUGUUGAAUAGCACAAGAACAAAUUCGACAAAUUUAUUCCUUAUUUAUACUAAUUUCGUUUUUUUUAUAAUAUCAAUUCAGUUUAGUUUAGUUUAGAACAAACUCGGUAUGUUUAAUAAUUAUUCAUUAUUUAUUUACGAAGGAAUCUAUCUAGAAUGUCUAGAAUGCAUCGCAAUAUGCUAGAAGAAAUGUACAUUUAUUUAUUAUUUAUAUCAAUUUAUCAUGUGUCAUUCCAAGAAUCAUGUGUUAUUUAUAUUAAAGUUAUUUCACCCUGUAUAUUAUAUAUAUAUAUAUAUAUAUAUAUAUAUUCAGUGACGAAUGUUUCAAUUCAUUGCUCGGUGAUCCAUUACAUUAGUCAGUCCGUUAGUCCAUCGCCGUCGUACAGCGGAUGCCAAGGCUUAAAAUUGAAACUGAUACGGUAUAUUCGGAACCUAUUCGGACGUUCGAUUAUUAACAACAAUCGAACAACAUCGAACGGUAAAAGAAAACGAAUAUUUUAAAUAUACAUGGUUAACUAUAUCAUACCCUCUGUGUAUUCCUCGAUCAGGUUAUCGUUUUCAAUUCAACGUGCGAGUGAUAUGAAUUAUUGGACGAAUCAAAAGGAGAUUUAACAGCAGCGAAAACAGCGACGAGUAAUAACGAAUCGACAGUAUUCGCAACAAUUAGCAAUGGAAACGAUCGUAUGUGGUUGUUGUUAUUUUCGUCGCGGGUCGCCGGAUCGCCGGAUCGCCAGAUCGCCGGAUCGCCGGAUCGCCAGGUCGCAGGAUCGCCGGGUCGCAGGAUCGCAGGAUCGCAGGAUCGCAGGAUCGCAGGAUCGCAGGAUCGAGUCUGUCACAUAGGAGCUCAAGGAUAGGUCCGAUUGUAGUAAUAUUUUUAUAUCUGCGUGUUUUUUAAAGAAAUAAAUGGACUAUUUUGCUUGGAGUUUGUAUGAGAACUUUGAAAGUGACAGAUUUUUUAAUGCAAUCUUUUAUUUCAUUUCUGGUGGUGAAGUCGAAUCUUUGACUAAUUGGAUGAAAAUAUAUUUUGUUUAGAUAUA